ACCCUAAAAAUGAUAACAACAACACACUAGUUUUACAUUGUUACCAAAUUCACUUUUAACCCUAAAAUUCACUUCCAAACCCUAAACCGCGUCGUCAGCUUCACCUUUACCUUCGAACCCUUCCUUCGUCAUUCAUCAUCAUCUUCAUCGCACCUAGCCUUCAUCGCUUUCAUUAUCAUCUUCAUCACUGCCCUUCAUCGCCUUCAUGGUCAUCUUCAUCAUUCAUUACAGUGAUCUUCCUCGAGCUUGUCGUCGCCGUCACCGUCAGUAGUCGUUGUCUUCCUCGACGCUGCUUUCAAAGGGUUUUGAAUGGAUUUUCCUUGAAAGGUUCAGAAAACCCUAACCUCCAUCACGCCACCAUCUUUCUCACCGUUGCCACCUUUUGCGCUCAAGAUCGCAACCAGGUUCGUUGUUGUGUUAACUAGCUCACCAUUCCUCUUGUUGUUUUGCUUGUCGUCCUUCUCGCCAUUCAGAUCAUCGUGCUGCUCGCCUCUCUCUCGUGGUUAUGCUCACCGUGCUGCUCGAAGAUAACUGGAGUGUGAAGGCCAUCCGCAGAAAGACCACCGGCACUGGCAGGAUGAGCUACCUCCAUCACGUGCCUUGCCGAUUCAAGAGCGGCUUCAGAGAAAGUACUGAAGUUGCAUCAAUGAGUCUUAGGAAAUAUGUGUUGCUAAUAAGAAAUAAAAAAUAAUGCAGUAAAUGAUGGAGAUGGAAUGCCAGAGAUGGAAGUAAAGGCAUAAACAUAACAUACCAAAUAUGAGAGAACAGAACAGGAUACAAAACAGGUGCACUUAAAGAAGGUUUAAAGCGUAGCUAUGUCAAACACUGAAUAUGUUGCAAUAUUCGAUGCUGAUUUUCGGCCUGAACCUGAUUUCUUGAGAAGAGCCAUUCCCUUCUUGAUUGGCAAUCCUGACAUGGCUCUUGUUCAAGCUCGUUGGAGAUUUGGUCAAUGCGGCUCUCUAGUUUGAAUGGAGCAAGAUCCAGAUGCCUACAGAUGAAGUUGUUGUGCCUUAUAAGUUAUGACAGUCUAGCUCCAACUACUCCUGAAGGUAAGUUUCUUUUUUGCAUUUUUCUUUUGUCUGAUUAGUUGAUUUGAAUCUAAUGUAGCUAAUCAAUGUAUUUGCUGCCUGAACUGAAACUGGUGUAGCCUCUUCCGAGGUGAAGAGCCUCUUGGACAAACUUAUGGUGCUUAAGCUCAAUGGAAACUUGGAGACAACUAUGGGUUGCACUGGUCCAAAAUAUGCUGAAUCUGAUUUUAUUAUUUUACUUGUUUAUUGUAAUUAUUUGUAUUUUUUUAUGCUUAGUUUAGAUGCGGAAUUUUCAGUAUGUAAUUACUUGGUUACUGGUUCGUGCUUCUUUGAUACUUAUCACAAUGAUUAGUCUGAUAAACUUUAUUGACUAGAAUUUGGAACAUCACUAGGCAUUUCAAUUGGUUUUUCAGCUUGGUUAUUUAAUCACCAGUAAAAAGACAAAAAUUAAAAAAUAAUUUCCUUUCAAGCUAGACUUCGUCACUUUAUUAUUAGUAUUAUCAUGAAAGUUUAUAGAUUCGUGAACGAGAAAAAUUAUGGAAACUAUUUUUUAAUAUAUUACAUCACAUUGUUCCAUGCCAUGUAUGUAAGUCUUAAUUUAUGUAUAAAUGUAAUGCAGAUCUGUCAUUGAAGUUCGUGAUGGGCUGACUUCUCUUGAUUUAGUUGUUAUCCAAAUUGAGGUGACUCCCAAAACAUUGGCUGAUGUGAAGCAUGGCACUUUGAUUUCUUAUGAAGAGUUCAGGCACGUAACCAUUGCUGCAUCACCACUUCUAAAUCAAGAUUUAGCUGAUUAAAUCUGUACUGUGAUGGUUGCAAAUUGGCCACAAAUUUAAUAGUUUUAAUGAUCUUCUAAGUUCUAAUGGUGAACUUAUUUUGUCCUAAUUCAGUUAUUAGUUUUGUUAAAGUAUUGUGAUUUUUUAAUUAUAAUUAUAGCAUGUAAAUAAUUCAUGUAAAUCAAUAAAAAAUCAAUUUUU
Molecule: non-coding RNA, 2002 nt
Organism: Arachis ipaensis
Lineage: Eukaryota; Viridiplantae; Streptophyta; Magnoliopsida; Fabales; Fabaceae
Source: RefSeq, a predicted model, not a curated record